GAUGAAGAACGUAGCGAAAUGCGAUACUUGGUGUGAAUUGCAGAAUCCCGUGAACCAUCGAGUCUUUGAACGCAAGUUGCGCCCGAAGCCACUAGGCCGAGGGCACGCCUGCCUGGGCGUCACACGCCGUUGCCCCCCCAUCUACUCCUUCGGGAUUGCGGGGGGGCGGAUGAUGGCCUCCUGUGCGCCUAGCCGCGCGGUUGGCAUAAAUACCAAGUCCUCGGCGACGCACGCCACGACAAUCGGUGGUUGCGAAACCUCGGUUGCCCGUCGUGUGCGUUCGUCGCGCAUCGAGGGCUCGAAAAAAUGCUCGGCUCCGGCUGGGCUUUCAACGCGACCCCAGGUCAGGCGGGGUUACCCGCUGAAUUUAAGCAUAUCAAUAAGCAGAGGA
This 391-nucleotide unclassified non-coding RNA is filed under the name soil metagenome. RNAcentral's name for it is "partial contains 5.8S ribosomal RNA, internal transcribed spacer 2, and large subunit ribosomal RNA". The stretch from base 1 to 122 matches the Rfam family "5.8S ribosomal RNA", at positions 35 to 154 of the family's 154-position model. The record is from RNAcentral.